Brachypodium distachyon (stiff brome) is the source of this 753-nucleotide long non-coding RNA. RefSeq lists it as uncharacterized. The record is from RefSeq and is a predicted model, not a curated record. NCBI's taxonomy places the organism in Eukaryota, Viridiplantae, Streptophyta, Magnoliopsida, Poales, Poaceae. The transcript is spliced from 3 exons.
UCUUGCACGCACAACUGCUCGACUCCCUGAUUCUUUCUUCUUUCACGAGCACCAGCACCAGCUCCAGAAACGCACGCACCUGUGCACGCCGCCACCUUGAUUUUCCCCUUCGAUUCUCUCGCUCCCUAUCGUUUCUCUGAAAACCAAAAUGGCCAAAUUAAUCUACAUCACCUGGUGAACCGAUUCAGCUUUCAACCAUCAGUUUCCUGUCUUCAAUUCCCCACUGAAACGGACGCCCCGAGUGCAGGUUUUUGGCAUACGUUUCCUGAUCUCCCACCACAGCCCACAAAACAUAAUUCCUACCGCGCCAUAUUGAGCCUCUUCGUCUCCUCCUUCGUUUCCUUGCCCAGAGUUUCGCCCGAGAACCAUUGUAGAGCCCGUGCUAUUAUCAUCUACCCCGCCGGCCGCCGUCACCAUUCUUGAUGGUGAUACCACGAGGUUAUGCAUCAAACAUGAACCGUUGGCCGCGUCGUCCCCGAGCUGGCAGCCCACAACACUAUCACGGACGCCGCCGGCUGUUCCCGCUGAACCGGAGCCCCGCAGGUUGCAAUCUCGCGCCAGGAGCAGAGCCUCAACGCAGCAGAGUCACCGCCCUAACCCGCAGCCCAGCAGAACGACCACGUGGGACGGAUUUCAUUCAUCUUUGUCAACUUCGGUCGUCGCGUUCAUGGCACGAUUUCUUCCCCUUCGAGAGUGACAAGGUGGAACCAGGACAAGAAUCUGAAGCUGAAGAAGAAGAAAUCAUCAACGGAG